This 483-nucleotide long non-coding RNA is filed under the name Homo sapiens (human). RNAcentral's name for it is "non-protein coding lnc-NUFIP1-1:3". Lineage: Eukaryota; Metazoa; Chordata; Mammalia; Primates; Hominidae. The record is from RNAcentral.
CUAACUUCCCUUCUUCCUGCCUGUUUUCCUGAAGUUGCGUCUGCAGGCUUCCUCUUAAUUCUAUGGAUCAUGCAAUAGUCUUUCAAGAAAUUAUCUUCUGCUUAGCUAGUCACUUCCUGUUGCUAGAACCAUGAAGAGGCCUGGUGAAAGAUGUUCAGUAUACUACCUGCAUCAGCUGCUACUGCUAUGUGACAAGCAAAUUUUCCAGAAACACUGACAUGGAAACAGGAUCUUUCUUCUCCUACUGUUUGUUCCUCGACUACAGUUAUAAUCCUCUAUUUGUGACAUCAUAAUUAGUUGCCACUGGAGAAGACGAUCGUGUCACAAAAGGAUUAGGACCUAAGUCUUGGAGUCCAGCCACUAUGCUGUGGGGAAGCAAAGAAAGCUGUGGAGAGGCCACGUGGGGAGGAAUGCCAUCCUUAGCAUGGGCUGAGCUCCCAGGCAGCACCCAUCUCCAGACAUGCGAGUGAACAGGACUUCCGG